UACGUAGGGUGCAAGCGUUAAUCGGAAUUACUGGGCGUAAAGCGUGCGCAGGCGGUUGUGUAAGACAGAUGUGAAAUCCCCGGGCUCAACCUGGGAACUGCAUUUGUGACUGCACAGCUGGAGUGCGGCAGAGGGGGAUGGAAUUCCGCGUGUAGCAGUGAAAUGCGUAGAGAUGCGGAGGAACACCGAUGGCGAAGGCAGCCCCCUGGGCUGACACUGACGCCUCAGGCACGAAAGCGUGGGGAGCAAACAGG
This 254-nucleotide ribosomal RNA is filed under the name uncultured bacterium. Its description in RNAcentral is "partial 16S ribosomal RNA". It matches the Rfam family "Bacterial small subunit ribosomal RNA", at positions 524 to 776 of the family's 1533-position model. The record is from RNAcentral.